CUCAGUCUAAAGUCGCCGGCGUCAGUGUUUCCAGCAGCAGUGAUCCAGCUUUGGCACCUUCAGCUCCAAUGACUGGACUUUUUAAUCUGUGAGGAGAGCCAGGUCCCAGUGUGUCUGCUGUCAGCAUCACUGCUAAAGUGCGAAUUCAGCAGCAUGAAUCAGUGUGAGGACAGAAACGAGGAAGCCCCUCCCUCUGAAACCUGUCUGUGUUGGGACCAUGAGAACCAGAACAAAGCUCAGUGCUUUGUGUCCUUGAAGAGCAAUGAGUCAAAGAGCCAGCCUAUUGCUUUUAAAGGCCAACCUGUAUUACAGUCUAAGUGAGUAGUGUCAAUUUGCCAAUUUGAACCAGGUUAAACAAUGUGAUAUAAUAUUAUUAUAUGAUGAUAAAUAGUUAUGUCAUUUACAUUUUGUGGUCUUUGAGAUGUGAGUAAGUUGAUUCUGGUUGAACGUGAAGGAGAAGCUCUAUUCAGUGUUUUUCCAGUAAAUCUACUGAAUCAGUAUGGUGUAA
RNAcentral lists this long non-coding RNA (508 nucleotides) under Betta splendens (Siamese fighting fish). Its description in RNAcentral is "lncRNA (ENSBSLG00000000855.1)". Lineage: Eukaryota; Metazoa; Chordata; Actinopteri; Anabantiformes; Osphronemidae. The record is from RNAcentral.